UCCUACGGGAGGCAGCAGUGAGGAAUAUUGGUCAAUGGCCGGGAGGCUGAACCAGCCAAGUCGCGUGAGGGAAGACGGCCCUACGGGUUGUAAACCUCUUUUGUCAGGGAGCAAGGUGCAGGUCGGGACCUGCUGUGAGAGUACCUGAAGAAAAAGCAUCGGCUAACUCCGUGCCAGCAGCCGCGGUAAUACGGAGGAUGCGAGCGUUAUCCGGAUUUAUUGGGUUUAAAGGGUGCGCAGGCGGAGGCACAAGUCAGCGGUAAAAAUGCGGUGCUCAACGCCGUCGAGCCGUUGAAACUGGCGUU
RNAcentral lists this ribosomal RNA (305 nucleotides) under uncultured bacterium. Its description in RNAcentral is "bacterial SSU rRNA". It matches the Rfam family "Bacterial small subunit ribosomal RNA", at positions 337 to 640 of the family's 1533-position model. The record is from RNAcentral.